CAGUGAGAGUCCCACACACGACUGGACUUCCAUAUCGAGCCACAGCUAUCAACGAAUUUGCUGGCAAGAUGUAGGCAGUUCAGUUGUGCGUUUAUGGAG
Molecule: microRNA precursor, 99 nt
Organism: Caenorhabditis elegans
Lineage: Eukaryota; Metazoa; Nematoda; Chromadorea; Rhabditida; Rhabditidae
Source: Ensembl